RNAcentral lists this ribosomal RNA (433 nucleotides) under uncultured bacterium. RNAcentral describes it as "partial 16S ribosomal RNA". It matches the Rfam family "Bacterial small subunit ribosomal RNA", at positions 29 to 507 of the family's 1533-position model. The record is from RNAcentral.
AACGAACGCUGGCGGCAUGCCUAACACAUGCAAGUCGAACGAGACCUUCGGGUCUAGUGGCGCACGGGUGCGUAACGCGUGGGAACCUGCCCUUAGGUUCGGAAUAACUCCCCGAAAGGGGUGCUAAUACCGGAUAAUGUCUUCGGACCAAAGAUUUAUCGCCUUUGGAUGGGCCCGCGUUGGAUUAGCUAGUUGGUAGGGUAAAAGCCUACCAAGGCCACGAUCCAUAGCUGGUCUGAGAGGAUGAUCAGCCACACUGGGACUGAGACACGGCCCAGACUCCUACGGGAGGCAGCAGUGGGGAAUAUUGGACAAUGGGCGAAAGCCUGAUCCAGCAAUGCCGCGUGAGUGAUGAAGGCCUUAGGGUUGUAAAGCUCUUUUACCCGGGAUGAUAAUGACAGUACCGGGAGAAUAAGCGCCGGCUAACUCCGUG